Molecule: ribosomal RNA, 484 nt
Filed under: uncultured bacterium
Lineage: Bacteria
Description: partial 16S ribosomal RNA
Rfam family: Bacterial small subunit ribosomal RNA
Source: RNAcentral
AUUGAACGCUGGCGGCAGGCCUAACACAUGCAAGUCGAGCGGAUGAGAGGAGCUUGCUCCUUGAUUUAGCGGCGGACGGGUGAGUAAUGCCUAGGAAUCUGCCUGGUAGUGGGGGAUAACGUUCCGAAAGGAACGCUAAUACCGCAUACGUCCUACGGGAGAAAGCAGGGGACCUUCGGUCCUUGCGCUAUCAGAUGAGCCUAGGUCGGAUUAGCUAGUUGGUGAGGUAAUGGCUCACCAAGGCGACGAUCCGUAACUGGUCUGAGAGGAUGAUCAGUCACACUGGAACUGAGACACGGUCCAGACUCCUACGGGAGGCAGCAGUGGGGAAUAUUGGACAAUGGGCGAAAGCCUGAUCCAGCCAUGCCGCGUGUGUGAAGAAGGUCUUCGGAUUGUAAAGCACUUUAAGUUGGGAGGAAGGGCAGUAAGCUAAUACCUUGCUGUUUUGACGUUACCGACAGAAUAAGCACCGGCUAACUUCGUG